AAAUUGAAGAGUUUGAUCAUGGCUCAGAUUGAACGCUGGCGGCAGGCCUAACACAUGCAAGUCGAACGGUAACAGGAAACAGCUUGCUGUUUCGCUGACGAGUGGCGGACGGGUGAGUAAUGUCUGGGAAACUGCCUGAUGGAGGGGGAUAACUACUGGAAACGGUAGCUAAUACCGCAUAACGUCGCAAGACCAAAGAGGGGGACCCUCGGGCCUCUUGCCAUC
Molecule: ribosomal RNA, 225 nt
Filed under: Escherichia coli
Lineage: Bacteria; Pseudomonadati; Pseudomonadota; Gammaproteobacteria; Enterobacterales; Enterobacteriaceae
Description: partial 16S ribosomal RNA
Rfam family: Bacterial small subunit ribosomal RNA
Source: RNAcentral